RNAcentral lists this ribosomal RNA (1423 nucleotides) under uncultured bacterium. RNAcentral's name for it is "16S ribosomal RNA". It matches the Rfam family "Bacterial small subunit ribosomal RNA". The record is from RNAcentral.
CUGGCUCAGGAUGAACGCUAGCGACAGGCCUAACACAUGCAAGUCGAGGGGCAUCGGGGCGAGGAGCAAUCCUUGCCGCCGGCGACCGGCGCACGGGUGAGUAACGCGUAUGCGACCUGCCCGUUGCAGGGGGAUAAUCGGGAGAAAUCCCGUCUAAUACCGCGUAAUGCCGCGGGGCUGCAUGGCCCUGCGGCCAAAGGAAGCGAUUCCGGCAACGGAUGGGCAUGCGUGACAUUAGCUAGUUGGCGGGGCAACGGCCCACCAAGGCGACGAUGUCUAGGGGUUCUGAGAGGAAGGUCCCCCACACUGGUACUGAAACACGGACCAGACUCCUACGGGAGGCAGCAGUGAGGAAUAUUGGUCAAUGGGCGCGAGCCUGAACCAGCCAAGUCGCGUGAGGGAUGACGGCCCUACGGGUUGUAAACCUCUUUUGUCGGGGAGCAAAUUCCGCCACGUGUGGCGGAGUCGAGAGUACCCGAAGAAAAAGCAUCGGCUAACUCCGUGCCAGCAGCCGCGGUAAUACGGAGGAUGCGAGCGUUAUCCGGAUUUAUUGGGUUUAAAGGGUGCGUAGGCGGACUGUCAAGUCAGCGGUAAAAUACGGGGGCUCAACCUCCGCCCGCCGUUGAAACUGACGGUCUUGAGUGGGCGAGAAGUAUGCGGAAUGCGUGGUGUAGCGGUGAAAUGCAUAGAUAUCACGCAGAACUCCGAUUGCGAAGGCAGCAUACCGGCGCCCAACUGACGCUGAAGCACGAAAGCGUGGGUAUCGAACAGGAUUAGAUACCCUGGUAGUCCACGCAGUAAACGAUGAAUACUAGCUGUCCGGGGCGAAUGAGCCCUGGGUGGCACAGCGAAAGCGUUAAGUAUUCCACCUGGGGAGUACGCCGGCAACGGUGAAACUCAAAGGAAUUGACGGGGGCCCGCACAAGCGGAGGAACAUGUGGUUUAAUUCGAUGAUACGCGAGGAACCUUACCCGGGCUCAAACGACACAGGAACGUACCUGAAAGGGUUCGGCUCUACGGAGCCUGUGUCGAGGUGCUGCAUGGUUGUCGUCAGCUCGUGCCGUGAGGUGUCGGCUUAAGUGCCAUAACGAGCGCAACCCCCAUCGACGGUUGCUAACAGGUCAGGCUGAGGACUCUGUCGAGACUGCCGGCGCAAGCUGCGAGGAAGGCGGGGAUGACGUUAAAUCAGCACGGCCCUUACGUCCGGGGCGACACACGUGUUACAAUGGCAGGUACAGCGGGAAGCCACCUGGCGACAGGGAGCGGAACCCGAAAGCCUGUCUCAGUUCGGAUUGGAGUCUGCAACCCGACUCCAUGAAGCUGGAUUCGCUAGUAAUCGCGCAUCAGCCACGGCGCGGUGAAUACGUUCCCGGGCCUUGUACACACCGCCCGUCAAGCCAUGGAAGCCGGGGGUGCCUGAAGU